This is a long non-coding RNA of Fundulus heteroclitus (mummichog), 450 nucleotides long. RefSeq lists it as uncharacterized. The record is from RefSeq and is a predicted model, not a curated record. The transcript has 5 exons. NCBI's taxonomy places the organism in Eukaryota, Metazoa, Chordata, Actinopteri, Cyprinodontiformes, Fundulidae.
UUAGGAACAUUUCAGCAAAUUUGAAUUGAAGAAUAAUUGCAUUUGUAGAAGUAGAUUGUGUUUAGUAUUAUUAUUUCUCUUUGCAGGUUUGUCAUGGUGGUAUAUUAUUAUUCCCCUAUCCCUAGCUGUACUCUUAUCAGCUGUUGUUUUGGUCAUCAUCCGAUGGAGGCAAACUAAAGAAAAUGAAAGUCAAGUUAAAGCCAGUGGGAUGUCCCACUAUGAAGUGGCAAUCAAGCCAGACCUGAGCCCAGACUCUGCAGGAGCCACAGUUGUUCCAGAAACCAGUCAGAAAGAAACUGAUCCUGGGGAAGGUGUUUCCUACGCCUCCUUUAACUUCAAUGAAACCAAGAGGAAACCAGGCAAUGUUGAAACAGUGGUCUACAGCACUGUGAACACUUCCUCCCCUUCUGCUAGAGUUUUCUCUGAUACAAACACUCUUUAUUCUACUGC